This 492-nucleotide ribosomal RNA is filed under the name uncultured bacterium. RNAcentral describes it as "partial 16S ribosomal RNA". It matches the Rfam family "Bacterial small subunit ribosomal RNA", at positions 29 to 507 of the family's 1533-position model. The record is from RNAcentral.
AGUGAACGCUGGCGGUAGGCCUAACACAUGCAAGUCGAACGGCAGCACAGUAAGAGCUUGCUCUUACGGGUGUCGAGUGUCGGACGGGUGAGGAAUACAUCGGAAUCUACUUUUUCGUGGGGGAUAACGUAGGGAAACUUACGCUAAUACCGCAUACGACCUACGUGUGAAAGCAGGGGAUCUUCGGACCUUGCGCGAUUGAAUGAGCCGAUGUCGGAGUAGCUAGUUGGCGGGGUAAAGGCCCACCAAGGCGACGAUCCGUAGCUGGUCUGAGAGGAUGAUCAGACAAACUGGAACUGAGACACGGUCCAGACUCCUACGGGAGGCAGCAGUGGGGAAUAUUGGACAAUGGGCGCAAGCCUGAUCCAGCCAUACCGCGUGGGUGAAGAAGGCCUUCGGGUUGUAAAGCCCUUUUGUUGGGAAAGAAAAGCAGCAGGUUAAUACCCCGCUGUUCUGACGGUACCCAAAGAAUAAGCACCGGCUAACUUCGUG